Molecule: ribosomal RNA, 253 nt
Filed under: uncultured bacterium
Lineage: Bacteria
Description: partial 16S ribosomal RNA
Rfam family: Bacterial small subunit ribosomal RNA
Source: RNAcentral
UACGGAGGGUGCAAGCGUUGUCCGGAUUUAUUGGGUUUAAAGGGUGCGUAGGCGGCCCGUUAAGUCAGUGGUGAAAGCCCACAGCUCAACUGUGGAACUGCCAUUGAUACUGUCGGGCUUGAGUACAGACGAGGUAGGCGGAAUUGAUGGUGUAGCGGUGAAAUGCAUAGAUACCAUCAAGAACACCGAUUGCGAAGGCAGCUUACUAGGCUGUAACUGACGCUGAGGAGCGAAAGCGUGGGGAGCAAACAGG